GCUUAUAAUCAUACUAUCCUGAAUGUGUUUGAAUGUCUGAUCUCAUCUGGUCUUGUCGAAGCUAAGCCAGGGUUGGGCCUGGUUACUACCUGAAUGGGAAGCUUCCUGGGAAUACUGUGUGCUGUAGGCU
Molecule: ribosomal RNA, 130 nt
Organism: Gorilla gorilla gorilla (western lowland gorilla)
Lineage: Eukaryota; Metazoa; Chordata; Mammalia; Primates; Hominidae
Source: Ensembl